This 74-nucleotide transfer RNA is filed under the name Rhodococcus (subgen. Prescottella) equi. Its description in RNAcentral is "Rhodococcus hoagii tRNA-Arg". It matches the Rfam family "tRNA". From Rfam's summary of the family: Transfer RNA (tRNA) molecules are approximately 80 nucleotides in length. The record is from RNAcentral. Lineage: Bacteria; Bacillati; Actinomycetota; Actinomycetes; Mycobacteriales; Nocardiaceae.
GCUGCCUUAGCUCAGUCGGUAGAGCAUUUCACAACGUAAUGAAAAGGUCGCGAGUUCGAUUCUCGCAGGCAGCU